GUUAAGCGACUAAGCGUACACGGUGGAUGCCCUGGCAGUCAGAGGCGAUGAAGGACGUGCUAAUCUGCGAUAAGCGUCGGUAAGGUGAUAUGAACCGUUAUAACCGGCGAUUUCCGAAUGGGGAAACCCAGUGUGAUUCGUCACACUAUCAUUAACUGAAUCCAUAGGUUAAUGAGGCGAACCGGGGGAACUGAAACAUCUAAGUACCCCGAGGAAAAGAAAUCAACCGAGAUUCCCCCAGUAGCGGCGAGCGAACGGGGAGCAGCCCAGAGCCUGAAUCAGUGUGUGUGUUAGUGGAAGCGUCUGGAAAGGCGCGCGAUACAGGGUGACAGCCCCGUACACAAAAAUGCACAUGCUGUGAGCUCGAUGAGUAGGGCGGGACACGUGGUAUCCUGUCUGAAUAUGGGGGGACCAUCCUCCAAGGCUAAAUACUCCUGACUGACCGAUAGUGAACCAGUACCGUGAGGGAAAGGCGAAAAGAACCCCGGCGAGGGGAGUGAAAAAGAACCUGAAACCGUGUACGUACAAGCAGUGGGAGCACGCUUAGGCGUGUGACUGCGUACCUUUUGUAUAAUGGGUCAGCGACUUAUAUUCUGUAGCAAGGUUAACCGAAUAGGGGAGCCGAAGGGAAACCGAGUCUUAACUGGGCGUUAAGUUGCAGGGUAUAGACCCGAAACCCGGUGAUCUAGCCAUGGGCAGGUUGAAGGUUGGGUAACACUAACUGGAGGACCGAACCGACUAAUGUUGAAAAAUUAGCGGAUGACUUGUGGCUGGGGGUGAAAGGCCAAUCAAACCGGGAGAUAGCUGGUUCUCCCCGAAAGCUAUUUAGGUAGCGCCUCGUGAAUUCAUCUCCGGGGGUAGAGCACUGUUUCGGCAAGGGGGUCAUCCCGACUUACCAACCCGAUGCAAACUGCGAAUACCGGAGAAUGUUAUCACGGGAGACACACGGCGGGUGCUAACGUCCGUCGUGAAGAGGGAAACAACCCAGACCGCCAGCUAAGGUCCCAAAGUCAUGGUUAAGUGGGAAACGAUGUGGGAAGGCCCAGACAGCCAGGAUGUUGGCUUAGAAGCAGCCAUCAUUUAAAGAAAGCGUAAUAGCUCACUGGUCGAGUCGGCCUGCGCGGAAGAUGUAACGGGGCUAAACCAUGCACCGAAGCUGCGGCAGCGACGCUGAUGCGUUGUUGGGUAGGGGAGCGUUCUGUAAGCCUGCGAAGGUGUGCUGUGAGGCAUGCUGGAGGUAUCAGAAGUGCGAAUGCUGACAUAAGUAACGAUAAAGCGGGUGAAAAGCCCGCUCGCCGGAAGACCAAGGGUUCCUGUCCAACGUUAAUCGGGGCAGGGUGAGUCGACCCCUAAGGCGAGGCCGAAAGGCGUAGUCGAUGGGAAACAGGUUAAUAUUCCUGUACUUGGUGUUACUGCGAAGGGGGGACGGAGAAGGCUAUGUUGGCCGGGCGACGGUUGUCCCGGUUUAAGCGUGUAGGCUGGUUUUCCAGGCAAAUCCGGAAAAUCAAGGCUGAGGCGUGAUGACGAGGCACUACGGUGCUGAAGCAACAAAUGCCCUGCUUCCAGGAAAAGCCUCUAAGCAUCAGGUAACAUCAAAUCGUACCCCAAACCGACACAGGUGGUCAGGUAGAGAAUACCAAGGCGCUUGAGAGAACUCGGGUGAAGGAACUAGGCAAAAUGGUGCCGUAACUUCGGGAGAAGGCACGCUGAUAUGUAGGUGAAGCGACUUGCUCGUGGAGCUGAAAUCAGUCGAAGAUACCAGCUGGCUGCAACUGUUUAUUAAAAACACAGCACUGUGCAAACACGAAAGUGGACGUAUACGGUGUGACGCCUGCCCGGUGCCGGAAGGUUAAUUGAUGGGGUUAGCGCAAGCGAAGCUCUUGAUCGAAGCCCCGGUAAACGGCGGCCGUAACUAUAACGGUCCUAAGGUAGCGAAAUUCCUUGUCGGGUAAGUUCCGACCUGCACGAAUGGCGUAAUGAUGGCCAGGCUGUCUCCACCCGAGACUCAGUGAAAUUGAACUCGCUGUGAAGAUGCAGUGUACCCGCGGCAAGACGGAAAGACCCCGUGAACCUUUACUAUAGCUUGACACUGAACAUUGAGCCUUGAUGUGUAGGAUAGGUGGGAGGCUUUGAAGUGUGGACGCCAGUCUGCAUGGAGCCGACCUUGAAAUACCACCCUUUAAUGUUUGAUGUUCUAACGUUGACCCGUGAUCCGGGUUGCGGACAGUGUCUGGUGGGUAGUUUGACUGGGGCGGUCUCCUCCUAAAGAGUAACGGAGGAGCACGAAGGUUGGCUAAUCCUGGUCGGACAUCAGGAGGUUAGUGCAAUGGCAUAAGCCAGCUUGACUGCGAGCGUGACGGCGCGAGCAGGUGCGAAAGCAGGUCAUAGUGAUCCGGUGGUUCUGAAUGGAAGGGCCAUCGCUCAACGGAUAAAAGGUACUCCGGGGAUAACAGGCUGAUACCGCCCAAGAGUUCAUAUCGACGGCGGUGUUUGGCACCUCGAUGUCGGCUCAUCACAUCCUGGGGCUGAAGUAGGUCCCAAGGGUAUGGCUGUUCGCCAUUUAAAGUGGUACGCGAGCUGGGUUUAGAACGUCGUGAGACAGUUCGGUCCCUAUCUGCCGUGGGCGCUGGAGAACUGAGGGGGGCUGCUCCUAGUACGAGAGGACCGGAGUGGACGCAUCACUGGUGUUCGGGUUGUCAUGCCAAUGGCACUGCCCGGUAGCUAAAUGCGGAAGAGAUAAGUGCUGAAAGCAUCUAAGCACGAAACUUGCCCCGAGAUGAGUUCUCCCUGACUCCUUGAGAGUCCUGAAGGAACGUUGAAGACGACGACGUUGAUAGGCCGGGUGUGUAAGCGCAGCGAUGCGUUGAGCUAACCGGUACUAAUGAACCGUGAGG
Molecule: ribosomal RNA, 2894 nt
Filed under: Escherichia coli
Lineage: Bacteria; Pseudomonadati; Pseudomonadota; Gammaproteobacteria; Enterobacterales; Enterobacteriaceae
Description: partial 23S ribosomal RNA
Rfam family: Bacterial large subunit ribosomal RNA
Source: RNAcentral